This 524-nucleotide ribosomal RNA is filed under the name Salmonella sp. Sal1221. Its description in RNAcentral is "bacterial SSU rRNA". It matches the Rfam family "Bacterial small subunit ribosomal RNA", at positions 11 to 525 of the family's 1533-position model. The record is from RNAcentral. Lineage: Bacteria; Pseudomonadati; Pseudomonadota; Gammaproteobacteria; Enterobacterales; Enterobacteriaceae.
GAUUUGAACUGGCUCAGAUUGACGCUGGCGGCAGGCCUAACACAUGCAAGUCGAACGGUAACAGGAAGCAGCUUGCUGCUUUGCUGACGAGUGGCGGACGGGUGAGUAAUGUCUGGGAAACUGCCUGAUGGAGGGGGAUAACUACUGGAAACGGUGGCUAAUACCGCAUAACGUCGCAAGACCAAAGAGGGGGACCUUCGGGCCUCUUGCCAUCAGAUGUGCCCAGAUGGGAUUAGCUUGUUGGUGAGGUAACGGCUCACCAAGGCGACGAUCCCUAGCUGGUCUGAGAGGAUGACCAGCCACACUGGAACUGAGACACGGUCCAGACUCCUACGGGAGGCAGCAGUGGGGAAUAUUGCACAAUGGGCGCAAGCCUGAUGCAGCCAUGCCGCGUGUAUGAAGAAGGCCUUCGGGUUGUAAAGUACUUUCAGCGGGGAGGAAGGUGUUGUGGUUAAUAACCGCAGCAAUUGACGUUACCCGCAGAAGAAGCACCGGCUAACUCCGUGCCAGCCGCCGCGGUAAUU